RNAcentral lists this ribosomal RNA (564 nucleotides) under Papiliotrema terrestris. Its description in RNAcentral is "eukaryotic LSU rRNA". It matches the Rfam family "Eukaryotic large subunit ribosomal RNA", at positions 69 to 625 of the family's 3401-position model. Lineage: Eukaryota; Fungi; Basidiomycota; Tremellomycetes; Tremellales; Rhynchogastremaceae. The record is from RNAcentral.
CAAGGUUUCCCCUAGUAACGGCGAGUGAACCGGGAAGAGCUCAAAUUUGAAAUCUGGCGUGCUCAGUGCGUCCGAGUUGUAAUCUAUAGAGGCGUUUUCCGUGCCGGACUGUGUCUAAGUCCCUUGGAACAGGGUAUCAAAGAGGGUGAUAAUCCCGUACUUGACACAAUGACCGGUGCUCUGUGAUACGUCUUCUACGAGUCGAGUUGUUUGGGAAUGCAGCUCAAAAUGGGUGGUGAGUUCCAUCUAAAGCUAAAUAUUGGCGAGAGACCGAUAGCGAACAAGUACCGUGAGGGAAAGAUGAAAAGCACUUUGGAAAGAGAGUUAAACAGUACGUGAAAUUGUUGAAAGGGAAACGAUUGAAGUCAGUCGUGACUGAGAGGCUCAGCCGGUUCUGCCGGUGUAUUCCCCUCAGUCGGGUCAACAUCAGUUUUGUUCGGUGGAUAAGGGCAGCUGGAAGGUGGCACCUCCGGGUGUGUUAUAGCCAGCUGUCGCAUACAUCGAAUGAGACUGAGGAAUGCAGCUCGCCUUUAGGCCGGGGUUCGCCCACUCCGAGCUAGGAUG